UACGAAGGGGGCUAGCGUUGCUCGGAAUCACUGGGCGUAAAGCGCACGUAGGCGGACUCUUAAGUCGGUGGUGAAAUCCUGGAGCUCAACUCCAGAACUGCCUUUGAUACUGAAGAUCUUGAGUUCGGGAGAGGUGAGUGGAAUUCCGAGUGUAGAGGUGAAAUUCGUAGAUAUUCGGAAGAACACCAGUGGCGAAGGCGGCUCACUGGUCCGGUACUGACGCUGAGGUGCGAAAGCGUGGGGAGCAAACAGG
Molecule: ribosomal RNA, 253 nt
Filed under: uncultured bacterium
Lineage: Bacteria
Description: partial 16S ribosomal RNA
Rfam family: Bacterial small subunit ribosomal RNA
Source: RNAcentral